AUCCCGGUCAGUAUAAAUAGCAGGUGGUCAACUGAGAGGUCAUUCAUUCGACCUCCUCUGCAGUGUCAAGAAUCCUCGCUUGCCCCGCCCACCAAUCACCAUGAACAAGUCUCUGAUGCUCGUGUUGAUCCCCUGCCUGGUGGCUUAUGUCAUGGCCCAGUAUUACCAGCCUGGAUACGGUGGUAUGGCUGGAUACGGUGGUGGAUAUGGGCCUGGAACUUACUACAACUACGCCGCGCAGAGCGCCCAAGGAGCCAAGACUAGCAACUUGUUGAACUAUGGUCUUCUCUUCUUCGCCAUCCUCAUCCUGACCAAUGCCACUGGAAGUAUCACUGGUUAAACGUAGUUAACAGAAGCUGACAUGCAUCUUACACAAGAAAUCAAAUGAAUUCCACAGACGUCCUGUUAUAGCUGAUAUUGCGCGAUAUAUUUUGUGUUGCUAUGAAUAAAACUGUAUUUACAUAAAACUA
RNAcentral lists this long non-coding RNA (470 nucleotides) under Mizuhopecten yessoensis (Yesso scallop). RNAcentral's name for it is "uncharacterized LOC110441984". Lineage: Eukaryota; Metazoa; Mollusca; Bivalvia; Pectinida; Pectinidae. The record is from RNAcentral.